CCUACGGGUGGCUGCAGUGAGGAAUAUUGGUCAAUGGACGAGAGUCUGAACCAGCCAAGUAGCGUGAAGGAUGACUGCCCUAUGGGUUGUAAACUUCUUUUAUAUGGGAAUAAAAUGUUCCACGUGUGGGAUUUUGUAUGUACCAUAUGAAUAAGGAUCGGCUAACUCCGUGCCAGCAGCCGCGGUAAUACGGAGGAUCCGAGCGUUAUCCGGAUUUAUUGGGUUUAAAGGGAGCGUAGGUGGAUUGUUACUUCAGUUGUGAAAGUUUGCGGCUCAACCGUAAAAUUGCAGUUGAAACUGGCAGUCUUGAGUACAGUAGAGGUGGGCGGAAUUCGUGGUGUAGCGGUGAAAUGCUUAGAUAUCACGAAGAACUCCGAUGGCGAAGGCAGUUCACUGGACUGCAACUGACACUGAGGCUCGAAAGUGUGGGUAUCAAACAGGAUUAGAUACCCUGGUAGUC
This 460-nucleotide ribosomal RNA is filed under the name uncultured bacterium. RNAcentral describes it as "partial 16S ribosomal RNA". It matches the Rfam family "Bacterial small subunit ribosomal RNA", at positions 338 to 795 of the family's 1533-position model. The record is from RNAcentral.